AUUGAACGCUGGCGGAAUGCUUUACACAUGCAAGUCGAACGGUAGAGGGGGCAACCCCUUGAGAGUGGCGAACGGGUGAGUAAUAUAUCGGAACGUGCCCAGUCGUGGGGGAUAACGUAGCGAAAGUUACGCUAAUACCGCAUACGAUCUAUGGAUGAAAGCGGGGGACCGUAAGGCCUCGCGCGAUUGGAGCGGCCGAUAUCAGAUUAGGUAGUUGGUGGGGUAAAGGCUCACCAAGCCAACGAUCUGUAGCUGGUCUGAGAGGACGACCAGCCACACUGGAACUGAGACACGGUCCAGACUCCUACGGGAGGCAGCAGUGGGGAAUUUUGGACAAUGGACGCAAGUCUGAUCCAGCCAUUCCGCGUGCAGGAUGAAGGCCCUCGGGUUGUAAACUGCUUUUGUACGGAACGAAAAGGUUUCUCUUAAUACGAGGAGCUCAUGACGGUACCGUAAGAAUAAGCACCGGCUAACUACGUG
RNAcentral lists this ribosomal RNA (480 nucleotides) under uncultured bacterium. RNAcentral's name for it is "bacterial SSU rRNA". It matches the Rfam family "Bacterial small subunit ribosomal RNA", at positions 30 to 507 of the family's 1533-position model. The record is from RNAcentral.